Molecule: ribosomal RNA, 433 nt
Filed under: uncultured bacterium
Lineage: Bacteria
Description: partial 16S ribosomal RNA
Rfam family: Bacterial small subunit ribosomal RNA
Source: RNAcentral
AACGAACGCUGGCGGCAUGCCUAACACAUGCAAGUCGAACGAGACCUUCGUGUCUUGUUGCGCACGUGUGCGUAACGCGUGGGAACCUGCCCUUAGGUUCGGUAUACCUUCCCGUAAGGUGUCUUCAUACCGGUUAAUGUCUUCCGACCAAAGAUUUCUCGCCUUUUGAUGGGCCCGCGUUGGAUUAGCGUGUUGGUAGGGUAAAAGCCUACCAAGGCGACGUUCCAUAGCUGGUUUGAGAGGAGGAUCUGCCACACUGGGACUGAGACACGGACCAGACUGGGACGGGAGGCAGCAGUGGGGAAUAUUGGACAAGGGGCGAAAGCCUGAUCCAGCAAUGCCGCGUGAGUGAUGAAGGCGUUAGGGUUGUAAAGCUGUUUUAGCCGGGAUGAUAAUGACAGUACCGGGAGAAUAAGCACCGGCUAACUACGUG